AUGAGAUAAAAAAAAAUCAUUUCAAUUCUGCAUUUAUAAAACAAUAUAACACAAGCUCGAGAGAGCUUUUGACAGAAUAUAAAAAUAUUAAAAUAAUAAAAUAACAAUAAUAGUAGCAUGCUCUCAUGCAAAAAAUGUAAAUAUUAUCAAAUGACAUUAUUUUUUCGUAUUAAAUAAAUUAUAUGUUGUGAUUGGCAUGAGACAACACAGACAUAGUACUUGAGAUUUCAAUUUCUCAUGUUUUGCUUUUGUUGAAAAUGUUUGCUAGCUGAUAUGCUGAUCAUGCAUGUGCUUUUAAAAUUUAUUAGGAGAUAUGAUCACAUGUAUGCUUCUCUACAGCUCUGAUGGAUGUUCAGUCCUGCCCAAUUUAGUUUAACUUUAAAUUUUGUAAAAUAUUUAAUAAAAAAUCAUAACUAGAAAUUAAUUUUUCAGAUUAAUUUAUGAAAAAACAAAUGACAUGUUCACUCUGAAGUUUUGGUAAAGUAGACCAUCUAGAAUAAUGGCAAGUCUAUGCCCAAUCUCACCACGGAUG
RNAcentral lists this long non-coding RNA (532 nucleotides) under Mytilus galloprovincialis (Mediterranean mussel). The record is from RNAcentral. Lineage: Eukaryota; Metazoa; Mollusca; Bivalvia; Mytilida; Mytilidae.